Molecule: non-coding RNA, 72 nt
Organism: Candidatus Liptonbacteria bacterium
Lineage: Bacteria; Candidatus Liptoniibacteriota
Source: Rfam
GCGCGCUUAGCUCAGCGGUAGAGCAGUGCUUUUACACAGCAAAGGUCGGGGGUUCAACUCCCUCAGCGCGCA